AUUGAACUCAGGACUUUGUGCUUACAAGGCAGGCGGCAGAACCACUGUGCUCAUCCCCAGCCCUUACAACUCUGGCCAGCAACAAGUGAGAAUUCUGGGUGCUAACCUUUGCCAUCAUUAAUCCAGAGUGUGACCAUUUUAUGGACGAGACAACUGAGGCUCAAAGAGAGGCUCAUGUGCUGCCUCUUGGUCGGUGAGGGAUUCUGGGGCCGUCUUGCCAGAAGCCUGCAUGGGCACCCUCCUCCGCCACCUCCCCUACACCCCCACCCUGCAUCCUGCCCCAUGCAGCCCGGCUGUGGGUUAGGGUAGGACAGCCAGGGUCACGUGGAGUUGGGUUCAGUGGGAGGAAGCCCAGGCCAAGUGCAGACGGCUGCUGAUUCUGGGGCUGGCCAGGAAAUCAAGGGUCGCCUCCGCCAUGGACUCACCGUCCCCGAGCCACCUCUGCCAAACCCAGCCCGCGGGCCCCUCCCCACUGACAUCCUACCGCUGGCACCUGGGGGCCAGCGGGCAGAAGGAGAAAGCGGCUGGGGGCUUCCGCUGGGGCCGCCUGGCCAGCUGGGGGAGGACACUGAGCCACCAGGAGCCCGUGGUGAGCAGCCAACCGGCCCCUCGCUCACGGUUCCGUCGGGUGCUCUCUGCACCCCCCAAAGAGUCACAGAGCAGUCGCCUCUGGCUCUCCAAGACGCUCUGGAGUCGGCACAAGAGCCCAUCACUGGAGCCGGAGCCGGAGCCGGAGCAGGAGGGCCCAGAGCUAGAGCUGGAGCCGGAGCCACUUGUCCCACAGAUCCCCGAGGCCCCCACCCCGGACGUGCCUGUGUGGGACAUCGGGGGCUUCGCCCUGCUUGAUGGAAAGCUGGUGCACAUUGGAGGCGAGGAGGAGGGUCCUCGGCGGCCCCGGAUGGGGAGCGCUAGCUCAGAGGGCAGCACGAAAGUGGUCAUUGGGAACCUCAGGAACCCAGAUCGGAUCUCCGGAAAGACGGAGCCAGAGGCUGCUGGCUCCAGCCAGGUCCACAAUGUUCGGGGGUUGCUCAAGAGGCUGAAAGAAAAGAAAAAGUCCAGGUCGGACCUGGGAUCCAGUGUCCCCCGGGAUGGCACCGUGGGCUCUAGGGAAUCGCUGGUCACACUCUCAGAGCUGGACCUGGGCGCUGAGCGGGACGUGCGGGUCUGGCCGCUGCACUCCAGCCUCCUGGGGGAACCCCACUGCUUCCAGGUGAUUUGGGUGGGCGGGAACCGCUGCUUCUCCUGUCGCUCGGCUGCUGAGAGAGACCGCUGGAUCCAGGACCUUCGUCGCCACUUCCAGCCCAGCCAGGUCAUUGCCGAGACUCUGCCUACUGUCUAGGCGGCCCCGCCUCUUUUAUGCCACCCAAACCCAGCGCCCAUCAUAACCGCUGCACCUUUGCGACCACUUGGAAAGGCCCCUUCCUUUUUUAUUUUAUUUAUUUAUUUGUAUUUUUAUUUUUGGUUAGUUGGUCGGCUUUGUGAGACAGGGCCUCGCUGUGUAGCUCAGGCUGGCCUCAAACUCCCGGCGAUCCUCCUGCCUCGGCCUCCCGAACGCUGGGUUGACGGGUGUGCACUACCACGUGCGGCAAGGCUGCACGUUUCUACUGCAGUGCCUGCACUGGAGCGCCAACGUUCCCCCAAAACUCACCCUACCCCUCUCCUGCCCCCAGGACAACGCGGAGCGGGAGGAGACGUGGCUGAGCGUGUGGAUACACGAGGCGAAGGGGCUGC
This is a long non-coding RNA of Fukomys damarensis (Damara mole-rat), 1731 nucleotides long. Lineage: Eukaryota; Metazoa; Chordata; Mammalia; Rodentia; Bathyergidae. The record is from Ensembl.